ACUCAGCCACAGAAUUGCUUUUCCACUACGGUCAGCCUGUUGCCUUACACCCCUCAAGCGCUCUUCAGAUUCCCAGGGCUGAAUCUGAAGUAAAGGGACAAGACUGGGACUUAGCCUUCACUAUUGACUACCCACGUGCUCUUGGGCCUCAGCUACCCUGUCUGUGCAAUGGGUCUGAUAGUGUCUGCCUGUCAUAUAGGGUUGUUGAGAGGCUCAAAUCAGCAGUAGAUCCCGAACAAAAAUAUAAUGAUGAAAUCUAAGCCCAGGAUCCCAGAGGAAAGAGAAGAGGAACUCCAGGCCAGCCUACGAUGUACUCAUCUACUGUUUCUCACAGAACCCUU
This is a long non-coding RNA of Tupaia belangeri chinensis (Chinese tree shrew), 341 nucleotides long. RefSeq lists it as uncharacterized. Lineage: Eukaryota; Metazoa; Chordata; Mammalia; Scandentia; Tupaiidae. The record is from RefSeq and is a predicted model, not a curated record. The transcript is spliced from 3 exons.